GCUGGGCAUUGUGCCAUGUGCCUGUAGCCCCAGCUACUUGGGAGGAUGAAGCAGGAGGAUCACUUGACUCCAGGAUGUCUAGGCUGUAGUGUGCUAUGCUGAUCAAAUGUCCACUCUAAGCUUGGCAUCAAUAUGGUGAUCUCCCAGGAGUGUGGAAUCACCAGGUUGCUUAAGGAGCGGUGAACCGGCCCAGGUCAGAAACAGAGGAGGUCAGAACUCCCACGCUCAUCAGUAGUGAGACUGCAACUGUGAAUUGACAGCACGGGCAACAAAGUAAAAACCUGUCUCC
RNAcentral lists this signal recognition particle RNA (289 nucleotides) under Carlito syrichta (Philippine tarsier). RNAcentral describes it as "Metazoan signal recognition particle RNA (ENSTSYG00000029923.1)". It matches the Rfam family "Metazoan signal recognition particle RNA". Rfam says of the family: The signal recognition particle (SRP) is a universally conserved ribonucleoprotein. It is involved in the co-translational targeting of proteins to membranes. Lineage: Eukaryota; Metazoa; Chordata; Mammalia; Primates; Tarsiidae. The record is from RNAcentral.